Molecule: ribosomal RNA, 288 nt
Filed under: Merohister jekeli
Lineage: Eukaryota; Metazoa; Arthropoda; Insecta; Coleoptera; Histeridae
Description: partial 16S ribosomal RNA
Source: RNAcentral
UCUGGUAUGAAAGGUUUGACGAGGGAAUUACUGUCUCAUGCUAAUUUUAAUUAGAAUUUUAUCUUUGAGUUAAAAAGCUCAAAUACUUCUGAAAGACGAGAAGACCCUAUAGAGUUUUAUACACUACUUAUUCUCUAGUUUUUAGUAUUUUAAGUGGGGGACUGGGUAGUGUAUUUUGCUGGGGUGGCAGGAAAAUUGAGUUAACUUUUUUUAGUAUUAAACAUUUUUAAAUGAAUAGAUGAUCCAGUAGUACUGAUUAUAAGAUUAAAUUACCUUAGGGAUAACAGC